UCGUGGAGUGAUUUGUCUGCUUAAUUGCGAUAACGAACGAGACCUUAACCUGCUAAAUAGUCAGGCUAGCUUUGGCUGGUCGCCGGCUUCUUAGAGGGACUAUCGGCUCAAGCCGAAGGAAGUUUGAGGCAAUAACA
This 137-nucleotide ribosomal RNA is filed under the name uncultured eukaryote. Its description in RNAcentral is "partial 18S ribosomal RNA". It matches the Rfam family "Eukaryotic small subunit ribosomal RNA", at positions 1299 to 1458 of the family's 1831-position model. The record is from RNAcentral.